UAAGGAAUAUUGGUCAAUGGACGCAAGUCUGAACCAGCCAUGCCGCGUGGAGGAUGAAGGUCCUCUGGAUUGUAAACUUCUUUUAUUUGGGAAGAAACCCACGAUUUCUAUUGUGGUUGACGGUACCAGAUGAAUAAGCACCGGCUAACUCCGUGCCAGCAGCCGCGGUAAUACGGAGGGUGCAAGCGUUAUCCGGAUUCACUGGGUUUAAAGGGUGCGUAGGCGGGCAGGUAAGUCAGUGGUGAAAUCUCCGGGCUUAACCCGGAAACUGCCGUUGAUACUAUCUGUCUUGAAUGUCGUGGAGGUGAGCGGAAUAUGUCAUGUAGCGGUGAAAUGCUUAGAUAUGACAUAGAACACCCAUUGCGAAGGCAGCUCACUACACGAUGAUUGACGCUGAGGCACGAAAGCGUGGGGAUCAAACAGGAUUAGAUACCCCCGUAGUCC
RNAcentral lists this ribosomal RNA (444 nucleotides) under uncultured bacterium. RNAcentral's name for it is "bacterial SSU rRNA". It matches the Rfam family "Bacterial small subunit ribosomal RNA", at positions 355 to 796 of the family's 1533-position model. The record is from RNAcentral.